This 495-nucleotide ribosomal RNA is filed under the name uncultured bacterium. RNAcentral's name for it is "partial 16S ribosomal RNA". It matches the Rfam family "Bacterial small subunit ribosomal RNA", at positions 28 to 507 of the family's 1533-position model. The record is from RNAcentral.
GACGAACGCUGGCGGCGUGCCUAAUACAUGCAAGUCGAACGCUGAAGGAGUAGCUUGCUCUUCUUGCUGAUUUGCGAACGGGUGAGUAACGCGUAGGUAACCUGCCUGGUAGCUGGGGAUAACUAUUGGAAACGAUAGCUAAUACCGCAUAACAGUCGAUGUUGCAUGACAUUUACUUAAUCUGUGCACUUUCAUCACUACCAUAUGGCCCUGCGUUGUAUUAGCUAGUUGGUGGGGUAACGGCAUACCAAGGCGACGAUACAUAGCCGGCCUGAGAGGGUGAUCAGCCACACUGGGACUGAGACACGGCCCAGACUCCUACGGGAGGCAGCAGUAGGGAAUAUUGGGCAAUGGACGGAAGUCUGACCGAGCAACGCCGCGUGAGUGAAGAAGGUUUUCGGAUUGUAAAGCUCUGUUGUAAGAGAAGAACGGGUGUGAGAGAGGAAAGUGCACAUUGGGAGGGUAUCAUAGAAGAAAGAGACGGCAAACUAGGUG